RNAcentral lists this unclassified non-coding RNA (363 nucleotides) under uncultured Pseudomonadota bacterium. RNAcentral's name for it is "uncultured proteobacterium contains 16S-23S intergenic spacer region". Lineage: Bacteria; Pseudomonadati; Pseudomonadota. The record is from RNAcentral.
UCCUCGUUACCGAGGCAGUAUCACUAGAAAAAUAACUAGCAAUGAGGGUUGCGCUCGUUGAAGGACUUAACCUAACAUCUCACGACACGAGCUGACGACGGCCAUGCAUCACCUGUCACCAGUCCAACUAAAUGACUGCCUAGUUUCCUAGGCAUACGACUGGGAUGUCAAGGGCUGGUAAGGUUCUGCGCGUUGCUUCGAAUUAAACCACAUGCUCCACCGCUUGUGCAGGCCCCCGUCAAUUCCUUUGAGUUUCAGUCUUGCGACCGUACUCCCCAGGCGGCGAACUUAACGCGUUAGCUUCGAUACUGCGUGCCAAAUUGCACCCAACAUCCAGUUCGCAUCGUUUAGGGCGUGGACUAC